AACGAACGCUGGCGGCGCGCCUAAUACAUGCAAGUCGAGCGAGAAGACGUAGCAAUACGUUUGUAAAGCGGCGAACGGGUGAGGAAUACAUGGGUAACCUACCCUCGAGUGGGGAAUAACUAGCCGAAAGGUUAGCUAAUACCGCGUACGCUCCUUGGACUUCGGCUCAGGGAGGAAAGCGAUACCGUGGGUAUCGCGCUCUUGGAUGGGCUCAUGUCCUAUCAGCUUGNGGUGAGGUAACGGCUCACCAAGGCUUCGACGGGUAGCUGGUCUGAGAGGACGAUCAGCCACACUGGCACUGCGACACGGGCCAGACUCCUACGGGAGGCAGCAGUAAGGAAUAUUGCGCAAUGGGCGAAAGCCUG
RNAcentral lists this ribosomal RNA (365 nucleotides) under uncultured bacterium. Its description in RNAcentral is "bacterial SSU rRNA". It matches the Rfam family "Bacterial small subunit ribosomal RNA", at positions 29 to 385 of the family's 1533-position model. The record is from RNAcentral.